CAUCCCGAACACGGAAGAUAAGCUCGUCUGCGUAUCGGCACGUACUGGAGUGCGCGAGCCUCUGGGAUCCCCGAUUCGCCGCCUUCA
Molecule: ribosomal RNA, 87 nt
Filed under: Natronorubrum daqingense
Lineage: Archaea; Methanobacteriati; Methanobacteriota; Halobacteria; Halobacteriales; Natrialbaceae
Source: RNAcentral